CUCAGAAGUACCUGCAAACUGACCCAGAAUUUUCGUUCUAAAGUGAACCUGACUUUCUCUAUAAGACAUCACUACAUUAACAGUUUCUCCUCGUUCCUUUUCCUUCCCUUAAGAAGUCAUAACAACCCACAAAUUUGCAGCAAAAAACCUAAAAGCCAUCCCUGACUUAAUGGAACCAGACUGAAGCUGUGAAUGUCGGUCUCAAAUUUCCUUCCAUGCAUCCUGCAAAUGUUUUAAGAUUUCCCCUUGAAUUAUGAGCAUGAAAAAUUCUGUAUAGGAAAUGACAAUCCUUUCUGUUUCCCCCAGGUGAACAAGUUCAUUACAGUGGAGAUUUCUGGGCACUUUGCAAUCACCUUGGUCUACAGAUGGCAUCCCCAAAGCCUAAAGCUAUCUCUGGCACCUGUAAAAUGCAAGUUUUUUCCUCCGUGCUUACCUAAGGUGCCAUUCCCUGAUGUCAGUCCCAUCUCCACAGAAGCCAGAGAGUUAUUCAAGGCCUAUAAAUGCAAGCAUCUGAAACCCACAACACAGGACAAAGAUGUAAGUGUGCAGUAGUCACUAUUUUGAGAUUGCAGGCAAAGGUAACUUUUAGUUUACACGUUAUU
Molecule: long non-coding RNA, 602 nt
Filed under: Mustela putorius furo (domestic ferret)
Lineage: Eukaryota; Metazoa; Chordata; Mammalia; Carnivora; Mustelidae
Description: lncRNA (ENSMPUG00000030639.1)
Source: RNAcentral